RNAcentral lists this ribosomal RNA (327 nucleotides) under uncultured eukaryote. RNAcentral's name for it is "partial 18S ribosomal RNA". It matches the Rfam family "Eukaryotic small subunit ribosomal RNA", at positions 1470 to 1796 of the family's 1831-position model. The record is from RNAcentral.
CCCUUAGAUGUCCUGGGCCGCACGCGCGCUACACUGACGAUGUCAGAGAGUGUCUCCUUCACCGAGAGGUGUGGGUAAUCUUUUAAACAUCGUCGUGCUGGGGAUAGAUCAUCGCAAUUUUUGAUCUUAAACGAGGAAUUCCUAGUAAGCGCGAGUCAUCAGCUCGCGCUGAUUACGUCCCUGCCCUUUGUACACACCGCCCGUCGCUACUACCGAUUGAAUGGUUUAGUGAGGCCUUCUGACUGGCGCCGCUACUCUGGCAACAGAGCGGCGGAUGCCGGGAAGUUGGUCAAACUUGAUCAUUUAGAGGAAGUAAAAGUCGUAACA